GCAUUCAUCAUAAACAAGCAACCAACCAACAGCAAAUAGAAUCAAUCAUAAUCUCUAGAAUCAAAAUCCACGAGGGUAACAAUAUAAAAGGAAAAACACAGUCCAAAAUGCAAAUUAAUAUAAUAACUCAACAACGUAGAAGAAGAACAUUUCUGUUCAGCUUUCGAGCUUCAACAUCUGUGGGUUAUCUUAACAUUUUAUGAUCACCACGAUUGGCCACUGCAAUGGACGACCACCUUGCAGCCAUCAGACAGAGUGGGGCAAAGCUUGUGAAGAUAUGCAAAAGCAUAAGAAGCCUCCUUCGAUGGAAAAAUGCCUUCCAACUUAAAAUACAGAUUGCGAGCUUCCCUUACCUCCAUAUCAGUCACUGUGUAAAAUUCAACUUUCCCCAUCUCCUUCAGAAAGUUCAAUGGAUGGGGGAGUAUGAGGCAACAUUUGAGCAGGGCUCGAGUGAAUUUAAGUAAAGUAGUUCAAGAAAUGGUAUUUUACUUACCCUUCACCUAUAGAAUGAGGUAGCAUAAUUUUUGGUGCAGUGUGCAUUAUUCCAUUAUAAGGCUGGACUAGGAUCAACCUCACAUCCUUAUCUUUUUGGAUGAAAUGGUCAAGGAAGAGUUUCAAAACAUUUGAGGCAGUACACUCAAUUGAGCCCAAAAUUAGGACAUCUGCUGUGCUGUUCAAUGUGUCAAUGCCUUGUUUCUUCGUCUCUUGAAAUUGGUUGGUCUCUUCAUCCCUAACUACCACAAGAAGGCUGGUUUUCGACUUCCUUAUCAACUCUUUUUUUGCCUCCAAUACUGCUUGUUUCAAGUUUCCCUCUACCCAUUUCACCUGAUUCUCACUUAACCAAAUAUUAAUAAUCUAACCCACAUUUUGUAUUCGUACCCAAAAAAAAAUAUAUUUUUUGAUGCAUCUUAGAUUGUACCUGUUGUUAUGUAGUUCACUAAAAUGUCUAAUUAUAAUGUACCUGAGCACCUAACGAAGUGAUUAACUGCACAUUUGAAGACUGCUUAUUGAUAUGAUCUUCAGAUCCCAUGAAAAUGGUGCAAUCUAAACCAUGUCUGUGGCAAGCAGCUGCAGUGAUAAUCCCGUACUGCUGGCCUUGGCCGCCCCCAGUGGCCGCAAUCACGCUCUUUCCCAUGCGCUUCGCGGCCAUAACCUUUAUGAUGACACUGCUAAUGAUCUUGUGGUCACGAAACGGGUUGAUCACAUCUCCAUCUCUUUUUAUGUAAAUUUCAGGACCCCUUCCCUCUUCGUUUCUGUACUGAUUUGUUAGUCUCUCCGCAUAACACACCUCCAUCUCUCGCCCAGCAAAAACCCUCAUCUCCUCCACCACCUCCUCCUGCAAUAUGCCAAAAUCAUUAAAAUACCAUUUUGAUUUUCUUAA
This is a long non-coding RNA of Cucumis melo (muskmelon), 1381 nucleotides long. RefSeq lists it as uncharacterized. Lineage: Eukaryota; Viridiplantae; Streptophyta; Magnoliopsida; Cucurbitales; Cucurbitaceae. The transcript has 2 exons. The record is from RefSeq and is a predicted model, not a curated record.